CUCUGAUCAGCUAUGAAAACGAGGUCAUGUUUGACAAACAGCAUUGUUCUGUGCGAGCAGCAGUCAACGCACUUGGCAGGGAUAAAGCCUUGGAACACGCCAGUGAUUAUUUUUAAUUGGAUGGGCCUCGUGGCUGUAACAAAAAUCAAUGUAUUUCUGAGGCGGCUGCAGAGGCGUUGAUCCGACUUGGCCCUGCCGCUCCCGGGCGGCCAAGGGAUGCUGGCGCCAGGAAACAGGAGGCUCUAGGCCUUGGGCACAGGGGAUGAUGAGCCCCCCCGGCUCCUCCUACUGCUGGGAUGAGUCCACUAUAAGCCAGGGCCAGAAAAGCAUUGGCUGGGGGUGGUGUCUAGGAGGGCAUGGGGUGCCCAAGGGUGCAGAACACAGGUAGGUGUGGGGUGCACGGGGUGAAGGGAGAUGCAUGAAGGGGCUGGGAGGGGCUGACAGUGGAAAAUGCAGAUCCCUGCUGAGAAUCUGCCACUUUACUUGGGGGGGGGUGUCCAGACCCCAUUUAGAGGGUGACACAAAUCCCCUACACAACAGGGCCCAACAGGAGGCAGUGAGACAGGGAGCCUUGUAAUGCUCUUGUUUCUGGCUGGAGUCACCAGCGUGAGAUAUUUAAACUAAAACAGCAGAACGUCAUCUCUGGGACAUUGAUGAAGAAAGCAUGUCUCCUCCCUGCUGGUGGCUGCCCAAGAAUGAUGCAUUCAGGAGAGAGAGAAAAGUAACUGUGUACUCACACUAUCAGAGAAGCCUCCAAUCUGGUUGGAAGGUUUUUCCCAAGGAAGACAAAGGCACGGCGUCCCUCGUCCCUCACUGUGUGGUUGUCUGUAGGCAGAGUGACCCCCCCUUGUCUGCGAGCCUGGAGGGGCCCCAGGGCCUGGUGAGUGCUGGGGAGCUGUACCAGGGCGGACCUGCCAGGCCAGAGGCAGCAAAUGCUAGGUGUGCAGGCUCAUGCCUGUGGCUGGGAAGCGCUCGACCCCUGGAGAGCUCGGCGAGGGAGCAGCAUCAGGGCAGCUGAGGGGUCUUUUGAGGAUUUUUGGAAGUUGCUUCUGGACAGCCUUACCAGAAAGAAAAGGGGGAAGCCCCUGUGGAUCUGGGGUUUUGCUGCAACGCGUGUGAUUUGUGCCAAGUUGAGACUCCACUUUUCCUGAGAAGUCCCUGCUUCCCAGUCAAUAACAUCAAAAAGAAUUUAAAACUCUGUGUGGUAAGACCAAUUACAGCUUCUAAUCUUUGUCCUGGGUGAGUGUUUAACCCCCUCCCCACCACACACACAUCUGAGGAAGAAAUCUCAGAACUCAGACAGCCCCUAAAUCCACCUGAGCCUGGUUCUCUGGAAAACACCCUUGACAUCUACAUUAUGAGCCCGAGGAAGCUUUGCUUGUAGGCUGGGUUGCAUUUCCUACAAAGCCUCUGGUUUUCACAGCCACGUAAGCUAUUUCUCUCUCAAGGCAUUGCUUUUGUGUAGAAAUUUAUCAUGUUUUUCCCCCUCAGUCCAGAAGUGAAUUUUUUUUUUUUAAAUUGGAGAAAAUCCCUUAAGCUGUUUCGGACUUAUUCAAGCAUGCAAAAAGGGUAUUUUCCAUGCGUAGUUCAGAUGCUUAGUAUGUUCUUGGAUAGCCCAAAUAAUUUGAAUUUAAAACUUUGAAUUGGACCUCUUUAUGUCACAUCUUAAAAAGGUGCCAUUUAUGAAGAAAAAUAUGGUCAUGAAAUAAAGGAUAUGAGGAGUAAGUGAUCCUGCUGGCU
This is a long non-coding RNA of Vulpes vulpes (red fox), 1740 nucleotides long. Lineage: Eukaryota; Metazoa; Chordata; Mammalia; Carnivora; Canidae. The record is from Ensembl.